RNAcentral lists this ribosomal RNA (279 nucleotides) under uncultured bacterium. RNAcentral's name for it is "partial 16S ribosomal RNA". It matches the Rfam family "Bacterial small subunit ribosomal RNA", at positions 506 to 784 of the family's 1533-position model. The record is from RNAcentral.
UGCCAGCCGCCGCGGUAAUACGGAGGGUGCAAGCGUUGUUCGGAAUCACUGGGCGUAAAGAGCGUGUAGGCGGCUGGCUAAGUCUGGUGUGAAAGCCCGGGGCUCACCCCCGGAAGUGCGCUGGAAACUAGUCAGCUAGAGUAUGGGAGAGGAAAGUGGAAUUCCGAGUGUAGGGGUGAAAUCCGUAGAUAUUCGGAGGAACACCAGUGGCGAAGGCGGCUUUCUGGACCGAUACUGACGCUGAGACGCGAAAGCGUGGGGAGCAAACAGGAUUAGAUA